ACAUAUAUGAUUUAGUUUAACAGAAAAUUGGACAUGGUAUUUAAUUAUGAAAAUAUAUGGCAAGGUAUGUAGCUCUGCUUGUAAGUAAACUUUGUUCACAUAGUUGUUCUGUAACCUCAGCUGGGCACCGUCUAUGAUCUAGCUAGUGCACUGGUUUGCUUACAGGUCCUGGAAUCUCAUACUUAAAGAUUUUUUUUCUGCUUAUACAUCAUGGAUCAGGUAGUGGCAUCUGCUGGCAGUGAGUGAUAUUGCUUUCUAAUCCUAUAGGCGGCCUGGCUUUUCAUAACAAUACAUCCCUGGAAAGCAGAUCAUCAUGCUGUUUUUGUGUGUGUGUGUGUGUUUUAGAAUGGGCAUAUGCCUGAAAAGAUAAAUAACAAAACAGAGUGGCGAAACAAUUUACACAUUGGCUGAUAUGUCACACGUGGAAGGAAGAAAAACUUUUAUUGUGAAUUUACUGUGCCCAUGUGGUGUCAUGUUCACAAACUGUCAGAGAGGUUAAGAGAUCAGCGAGGUUAAGAGACUUGACCAGGUUCACAGGCUGGGAAGGCAGGUAUCACAUAAAAUCUGUUCUUAAGUAGUUAGUGGUAAGUAGUUAGGAUGGCCUAGUUUGUGAGCAAAAAAGAAAGGGUAUUCAGAAAAGGAUUUGGGUGGCAAUGAACACUCUCAGUUUUUCUGGAGAGCAAUUUUCCCAUAUGCAUCGAAAGCCCUAAAAAUGUGCAUGUCAGUUGAUUAAGCAAUUUCAAUUCUGGCAAUUUAUUCUCAGGAAAUAAUAAUAGAGAUGCUUGAAGAGUUAUUAAUAUAUGACUAUUGCGUGUCUAUAUGUACAUACUAUAUAUGGCAGCAUUUACUAUAAUCCGUGAAAAAUAAAUGCUCUAAAUAACAACCAGUAGCAAAGAGUGGGUAACAUAGAUUAUAGUAUAUCCCUAUAAGGGAAUGAUAUUCAUUCAUUAAAAUAUGUUGUAUAGGGCUAUUUAUUGACAUGAAAAAUGUUUAUACCAUAUUAUCAGGUAAAAGAGCUGGUUUUGGGUGCUGUGUGAUGUCAUUUUCAAGUAAAACUCUAUAUAUGUCCAUGUGAAUUGUGUGGGCUUAUAAAGAUGUAUCAAAAUACCAACAGUGGUUACUUUUGAGAGAGAAGAUGACAGGUCACAUUUAUUUUCUUCAUUUCCUCAUCUCUAUUUUAUAAAUUUUUUAAGGGAAAACACAUUAUUUUAAAAAUGUAAAACAGUUUGUAUCUUAAGAAAAGAAUUACUAUGGUAACAAGAAGCAACUAAGGGGCCCACAUUACAGAGACCCAACAGGGAUGGAACUGGAGAGGGAGAAGUUUCUCCAGUGGGAAGUCAAUGGGAUGUAACAUUCAACAAGAUCUGGCAUUGGCCUGAGGAUGAUACCCUGCUAUGUCAGAAAGGGAGAGGCAAGAGGCACGAGGCACCUGUUCAGGUGCACAAGUCUCAUCAGAGAUGUUUAAACGGCAGUCGUGGUGCCUAGAGAGAGGCCAGGCACCAUGAUAUAUAAAUAAUGUUUGUCGCAGAGAAAUUGGUGGGCCGGGAAGGGAACUAAAGACAGGAAUUAGGGUUGGCUCUGGGAAGUGGAUGCAAACCCAGGGCAGUGGGGGAAGCAAGUCCAACUCAGUGUUAUCAAUUGUCCCUCCUUGGGAUAGUUCACAUUUCCCUGUGAUCAUGCUCCAGACCAGCUUUGUUCCCCCUUACAGCAACACACUCAGAUUUGGAGACUCAUUUGUUUUCAGAUAGAUGAAGAACAAUGUCUCAUAUACAAAAAGUUGCUUAAGGCUACUAAUGUACUUGGAACAAGUUGGGAAACAUACAAAUAAAACCAAAUCAUCAGAUGGAAUCGAUAUAUUUUUCCCCUACUUAUUUUUUCCCUAGGAAGCAAAGGUGCUUACAUUUAUGCCUUUGACUUCAAACAUGCCCCUACGUUUGGAUUGUUUUCAACAUCUAGAUGUUUUAAACCUUGAGAAAACUUUGAUCGUCAAGUUUUAGAGAGAAGAAGAACUUUAGAUCUAGAUCAUGUUGUGCUGCCAUGCCUGACUUCACAUUUUUAGAUCUCAGUUCUGUUGAGUGAGAGCAAGUGAGAUAAAGGUGGAGGGUCCGUUGGCCCUGAAACUCCAGGACUCUCUGGCCCUGAAACGUUGCUCUUAUUUUCAUUCCCAUAUUGUCUUUCAUGUCUACCCACCCCAGGCCCCCAAAUACAAGAGCAAUAACAGGGAAAUUCAGAAGGUCAGACUGAGGGAAGAGCUGGCUCUCUUCUCUUUUUCUGGAGUAUUCUACAGACUGACUGCAUGGCUAAAAGGAGCGUUUUCACAUUCUUUAUUCAUCUAUACUCAUUUAUUCAAGAAACACUGAAUACCCAGUUUGGUAAGUUCCAUUGAACUACGUUUAAGCUCACUGACUCCUUUGCUCUGUCCAGUCUAUAGAAAUCUCUGACCCUGCGCCCACCAGGACAGCCCUGGCGGCCGUGGGUCGACCUGGCGAGUGUCUGCUGCUGAAGGAAGACUGGGCCUUCGGUGGGCCCGUGAGCCAGGUCGGGACACACUGAAGAAGAGACACCAGGUGGAUCAUCAGGUCCAUGAGUUGGAACAUUUAGAAACUUUCUUCUAUCUCACUAUUAUGAACUAAAGGAUCUGUCAUCAUAUUUCCUAUUCUCUUCACCAACAAGAUAACUACGGAAUUACUCUUCAUCCCUGUUCCACUUCCUGUCCCCCUGUUUUCCUUUCUCUGGUCUGGUGGGAGGCCCAGAACUCAGUUUUGUGUACAUCUGAGAGCCUUCUAGUGGCUACUUCAGCCUGAACUCAAAUACCCCUGUCAGCAAGGAAGCCUGCUUCCUAAACCAGGGGUGGGCAACCCCUGGCACGCAUGCCAAACAUGGCACGCCAGUAACUUUUGCUGGCACGCGAAACCCUCUCUUACAAUCUUCCAUUUACAAUUUUUUUCU
Long non-coding RNA from Myotis lucifugus (little brown bat), 2949 nucleotides. RefSeq lists it as uncharacterized. The record is from RefSeq and is a predicted model, not a curated record. NCBI's taxonomy places the organism in Eukaryota, Metazoa, Chordata, Mammalia, Chiroptera, Vespertilionidae. The transcript has 3 exons.